UAGGGAAUCUUCCACAAUGGACGCAAGUCUGAUGGAGCAACGCCGCGUGAGUGAAGAAGGUUUUCGGACCGUAAAGCUCUGUUGUUGGUGAAGAAGGAUAGAGGUAGUAACUGGCCUUUAUUUGACGGUAAUCAACCAGAAAGUCACGGCUAACUACGUGCCAGCAGCCGCGGUAAUACGUAGGUGGCAAGCGUUGUCCGGAUUUAUUGGGCGUAAAGCGAGCGCAGGCGGAAGAAUAAGUCUGAUGUGAAAGCCCUCGGCUUAACCGAGGAAUUGCAUCGGAAACUGUUUUUCUUGAGUGCAGAAGAGGAGAGUAGAGCUCCAUGUGUAGCGGUGGAAUGCGUAGAUAUAUGGAAGAAUACCAGUGGCGAAGGCGGCUCUCUGGUCUGCAACUGACGCUGAGGCUCGAAAGCAUGGGUAGCGAACAGGAUUAGAUACCCUGGUAGUCCAUGCCGUAAACGAUGAGUGCUAAGUGUUGGGAGGCUUCCGCCUCUCAGUGCUGCAGCUAACGCAUUAAGCACUCCGCCUGGGGGAG
RNAcentral lists this ribosomal RNA (535 nucleotides) under uncultured bacterium. RNAcentral describes it as "partial 16S ribosomal RNA". It matches the Rfam family "Bacterial small subunit ribosomal RNA", at positions 355 to 881 of the family's 1533-position model. The record is from RNAcentral.